This 497-nucleotide ribosomal RNA is filed under the name uncultured bacterium. RNAcentral's name for it is "partial 16S ribosomal RNA". It matches the Rfam family "Bacterial small subunit ribosomal RNA", at positions 28 to 507 of the family's 1533-position model. The record is from RNAcentral.
GAUGAACGCUGGCGGCGUGCCUAAUACAUGCAAGUCGAGCGAACGGACGAGAAGCUUGCUUCUCUGAUGUUAGCGGCGGACGGGUGAGUAACACGUGGAUAACCUACCUAUAAGACUGGGAUAACUUCGGGAAACCGGAGCUAAUACCGGAUAAUAUUUUGAACCGCAUUGUUCAAAAGUGAAAGACGGUCUUGCUGUCACUUAUAGAUGGAUCCGCGCUGCAUUAUCUAGUUGGUAAGGUAACGGCUUACCAAGGCAACGAUGCAUAUCCGACCUGAAAGGGAGAUCGGCCACACUGGAACAGCGACACGGUGCAGACUCCUACGGGAGGCAGCAGUAGGGUAUCUUCCACAAUGGGCGAAAGCGUGACGGAGCAACGCCGCGUGAGUGAUGAAGGUCUUCGGAUCGUAAAACUCUGUUAUUAGGGAAGAACAUAUGUGUAAGUAACUGUGCACAGCUUGACGGUACCUAAUCAGAAAGCCACGGCUAACUACGUG